GGAUAUGGUUCAAGUGGUAGCACGCUCGCCUGGCAUGCGGGCGGCCUGGGUUCGGUCCUCAGCACCAUAUACA
Molecule: transfer RNA, 73 nt
Filed under: Marmota monax (woodchuck)
Lineage: Eukaryota; Metazoa; Chordata; Mammalia; Rodentia; Sciuridae
Description: tRNA.Ala
Source: RNAcentral